GGUUGUGAUCAUACCAGCACUAAUGCACUGGAUCCCAUCAAAACUCCGCAGUUAAGUGUGCUUGGGCGAGAGUAGUACUAGGAUGGGUGACCCCAUGGGAAGCCCUCAUGUUGCAACCCU
Molecule: ribosomal RNA, 120 nt
Filed under: Helianthus annuus (common sunflower)
Lineage: Eukaryota; Viridiplantae; Streptophyta; Magnoliopsida; Asterales; Asteraceae
Source: RNAcentral